RNAcentral lists this ribosomal RNA (126 nucleotides) under uncultured Leptolinea sp. Its description in RNAcentral is "partial 16S ribosomal RNA". It matches the Rfam family "Bacterial small subunit ribosomal RNA", at positions 1258 to 1382 of the family's 1533-position model. Lineage: Bacteria; Bacillati; Chloroflexota; Anaerolineae; Anaerolineales; Anaerolineaceae. The record is from RNAcentral.
UAGGUCGUCGACCAAUCCAUAAAGUUGGUCUCAGUUCAGAUUGUAGGCUGCAACCCGCCUGCAUGAAGAUGGAGUUGCUAGUAACCGCAGGUCAGCUAUACUGCGGUGAAUACGUUCCCGGGGCUU